Molecule: ribosomal RNA, 250 nt
Filed under: uncultured bacterium
Lineage: Bacteria
Description: partial 16S ribosomal RNA
Rfam family: Bacterial small subunit ribosomal RNA
Source: RNAcentral
UACGAAGGGGGCUAGCGUUGCUCGGAAUUACUGGGCGUAAAGGGAGCGUAGGCGGGUUAUCAAGUUGGGGGUGAAAGCCCGGGGCUCAACCUCGGAAUUGCCUUCAAAACUGGUAGCCUAGAGUAUGAUAGAGGUAUGUGGAACUCCGAGUGUAGAGGUGAAAUUCGUAGAUAUUCGGAAGAACACCAGUGGCGAAGGCGACAUACUGGGUCAUGACUGACGCUGAGGCGCGAAAGCGUGGGGAGCAAAC